RNAcentral lists this non-coding RNA (81 nucleotides) under Candidatus Heteroruminococcus faecigallinarum. RNAcentral describes it as "TPP riboswitch (THI element)". It matches the Rfam family "TPP riboswitch aptamer (THI element)", at positions 10 to 89 of the family's 105-position model. Rfam says of the family: Vitamin B(1) in its active form thiamin pyrophosphate (TPP) is an essential coenzyme that is synthesised by coupling of pyrimidine and thiazole moieties in bacteria. The previously detected thiamin-regulatory element, thi box was extended, resulting in a new, highly conserved RNA secondary structure, the THI element, which is widely distributed in eubacteria and also occurs in some archaea. The record is from RNAcentral. Lineage: Bacteria; Bacillati; Bacillota; Clostridia.
UACAGGGGUGCAGUAUGCUGAGAGAAGCGGUCGCUUCAACCCUUUAACCUGAUCCAGGUAAUGCUGGCGGAGGGAGAGAGA